UCUAAGUCAUUGAAAAGACUUGGUACUGUUAGUCUAGGAAAACUUUUGUCGUACAUUUUACCUUGAGGAAUGAAAUUUACAGAUACCUAACUGGUCCAUGGGGAUCAGGCGGGGCUAUGUGCAAGAUGACUACCAACUGAGCCCCGUGGAUCAUGAGCCCCAACCAUCUCGAUGUCCGAUCCCCGCUCCAGACGGAUCUCGGCUUAGGGUAAGAGUGACUAGAAGUAUAUCAGGCUCCUGAAAAAAGUUGUGACGCUUGGCGCGGCACAACACUUCCUCCAGCCGCGGCUACUAGCGCUGUCAUCUAGACAUUUGGAAACAUACAAGUUUGACAACAUUGUAGCUGAUAUCGACAUGUGGCCUGACAGUGUUGGCGAGCGUAUGCGAGGAGUUCAAACACAUCGUGGACGUCUCGAAAGAGGGCUUAAGAUUCGAUCAGAUUCAAGUGAUUGUGGAGAAUGUUCACUGAUAUAACAUUAGAUUGAUGGACCCAUGGAUGGAUGUGUGGCGUGACUAGGCUUGAUAAAAUACGCAACAGUACGUACGUAGAAGCCUCGGUGUACGGGACAUCGCCGACAAGAUGCAGGAGAGUAGGCUGAGAUGGUAUGGUCACGUAAAAAGGAAGCCGCCUGGCUACGUCGGAAAUUUGGCACUACUGCUCAACCUCCCCGGUCGAAGACCUAGAGACCCAAGACAAGGUGGAAGGAUGUAAUGCUGAAGGAUAAAAGGAAAUGCAAUAUUGCUGACAAGGAUGUCGAAGACAGAGCGAAGUGGAGGAGUAAAGUGAGGAAAGCUGACCUCACCACCAUGUGGGAUAAAUAACUGGCAAGAGAGAGAGGAACCCCAAAUAUAAGUACAAAUUGGACCGGACCAUCGAUCUGGACCUCGCCAACUUGGCGGAAUUAAACACACGUUUCAAUGUAUAGAUCAAAAGCUCAAGACUGACUCACGUGCCAUCAUAUAUGACAGCUUAGCUCUAUAUUGACAUUGUUGCGACAGUGUCAAAGGCACAAUUUAGCGCAAUAAAGUAGCUAUUUGAUAUCCUGGCCCUAAAAUGGAAACCUUCGGUCUCGUUUGAAGGAACACGUUUUGGUACUACACUAAAUACUAGUAAAGCACUAGUAUAUCAGUUGGUACAACACUAGUCCUUCCCUGUUCCGCACAUUCAUCGGCGACUUUAUUUACAUUCGAACUGACAGAAAUACUUUGAGAAUUAAAUGUUUGUAACUGUACGAUGAGUCGAUUGGUUAAUCAGCAAGUCAAUUGUAAUUAAAUGUUUUUGAAUCGU
Molecule: long non-coding RNA, 1288 nt
Organism: Bombyx mori (domestic silkworm)
Lineage: Eukaryota; Metazoa; Arthropoda; Insecta; Lepidoptera; Bombycidae
Exons: 4
Source: RefSeq, a predicted model, not a curated record